RNAcentral lists this ribosomal RNA (253 nucleotides) under uncultured bacterium. RNAcentral describes it as "partial 16S ribosomal RNA". It matches the Rfam family "Bacterial small subunit ribosomal RNA", at positions 524 to 776 of the family's 1533-position model. The record is from RNAcentral.
UACGGAGGGUGCAAGCGUUAUCCGGAUUUACUGGGCUUAAAGGGUGCGCAGGCGGAUAUGUAAGUCCGUGGUGAAAUCUUUGGGCUUAACCCGAAAAUUGCCUUUGAUACUAUAUAUCUUGAAUGCUGUGGAGGUAAGCGGAAUAUGUCAUGUAGCGGUGAAAUGCUUAGAGAUGACAUAGAACACCGAUGGCGAAGGCAGCUUACUACGCAGAUAUUGACGCUCAUGCACGAAAGCGUGGGGAGCAAACAGG